Molecule: ribosomal RNA, 399 nt
Filed under: uncultured bacterium
Lineage: Bacteria
Description: bacterial SSU rRNA
Rfam family: Bacterial small subunit ribosomal RNA
Source: RNAcentral
AACGAACGCUGGCGGCAUGCCUAACACAUGCAAGUUGAACGAGAGCCAAGAAGCUUGCUUUUUGGUGAAAGUGGCGCACGGGUGAGUAACGCGUGGAUAAUGUGCCCUAGGGUUGGGGAUAACCUAUCGAAAGAUGGCCUAAUACCGAAUGUGUCUUAAGAGGGUGUGCCUUUUUAAGAGAAAGCGGGGCAACCCGCGCCCAAGGAUCAGUCCGCGUUCCAUCAGCUAGUUGGUGGGGUAAAGGCCUACCAAGGCUACGACGGAUAGCUGGUCUGAGAGGAUGAUCAGCCACACUGGGACUGAGACACGGCCCAGACUCCUACGGGAGGCAGGCAGUGGGGAGUAUUGGGUCAAUGGGCGAAAGCCUGAACCAGCAAUGCCGCGUGAGUGAUGAAGGCC